This 1169-nucleotide ribosomal RNA is filed under the name 'Calendula officinalis' phytoplasma. RNAcentral describes it as "bacterial SSU rRNA". It matches the Rfam family "Bacterial small subunit ribosomal RNA", at positions 196 to 1372 of the family's 1533-position model. The record is from RNAcentral. Lineage: Bacteria; Bacillati; Mycoplasmatota; Mollicutes; Acholeplasmatales; Acholeplasmataceae.
UAAAGACCUAGUAAUAGGUAUGCUUAGGGAGGAGCUUGCGUCACAUUAAUUAGUUGGUGGGGUAAAGGCCUACCAAGACUAUGAUGUGUAGCCGGGCUGAGAGGUUGAACGGCCACAUUGGGACUGAGACACGGCCCAAACUCCUACGGGAGGCAGCAGUAGGGAAUUUUCGGCAAUGGAGGAAACUCUGACCGAGCAACGCCGCGUGAACGAUGAAGUAUUUCGGUACGUAAAGUUCUUUUAUUAGGGAAGAAUAAAUGAUGGAAAAAUCAUUCUGACGGUACCUAAUGAAUAAGCCCCGGCUAACUAUGUGCCAGCAGCCGCGGUAAUACAUAGGGGGCAAGCGUUAUCCGGAAUUAUUGGGCGUAAAGGGUGCGUAGGCGGUUAAAUAAGUUUAUGGUCUAAGUGCAAUGCUCAACAUUGUGAUGCUAUAAAAACUGUUUAGCUAGAGUAAGAUAGAGGCAAGUGGAAUUCCAUGUGUAGUGGUAAAAUGCGUAAAUAUAUGGAGGAACACCAGUAGCGAAGGCGGCUUGCUGGGUCUUUACUGACGCUGAGGCACGAAAGCGUGGGGAGCAAACAGGAUUAGAUACCCUGGUAGUCCACGCCGUAAACGAUGAGUACUAAACGUUGGGUAAAACCAGUGUUGAAGUUAACACAUUAAGUACUCCGCCUGAGUAGUACGUACGCAAGUAUGAAACUUAAAGGAAUUGACGGGACUCCGCACAAGCGGUGGAUCAUGUUGUUUAAUUCGAAGGUACCCGAAAAACCUCACCAGGUCUUGACAUGCUUCUGCAAAGCUGUAGAAACACAGUGGAGGUUAUCAGUUGCACAGGUGGUGCAUGGUUGUCGUCAGCUCGUGUCGUGAGAUGUUGGGUUAAGUCCCGCAACGAGCGCAACCCUUAUUGUUAGUUACCAGCACGUAAUGGUGGGGACUUUAGCAAGACUGCCAGUGAUAAAUUGGAGGAAGGUGGGGACGACGUCAAAUCAUCAUGCCCCUUAUGACCUGGGCUACAAACGUGAUACAAUGGCUGUUACAAAGGGUAGCUGAAGCGCAAGUUUUUGGCGAAUCUCAAAAAAACAGUCUCAGUUCGGAUUGAAGUCUGCAACUCGACUUCAUGAAGUUGGAAUCGCUAGUAAUCGCGAAUCCAGCAUGUCGCGGUGAAUACGUU